CCUACGGGAGGCAGCAGUGAGGAAUAUUGGGCAAUGGGCGAGAGCCUGAAGCAGCAAAGUCGCGUGAGGGAAGACGGUCCUAUGGGUUGUAAACCUCUUUUGUCGGGGAGCAAAAGACGCCACGCGUGGCGUUCCGAGAGUACCCGAAGAAAAAGCAUCGGCUAACUCCGUGCCAGCAGCCGCGGUAAUACGGAGGAUGUGAGCUUUAUCCGGAUUGAUUUGGUUACAAGGGUGCGCAGGAGGAAGAUCAAGUCAGCGGUAAAAUUGAGAGGCUCAACCUCUUCGGGCCGUUGAAACUGGUAUUCUUGAGUGAGGGAGAGGUAUGCGGAAUGCGUGGUGUAGCGGUGAAAUGCACAGAUAUCACGCAGAACUCCGAUUGCGAAGGCAGCAUACCGGCGCUCAACUGACGCUCAUGCACGAAAGUGUGGGUAUCGAACAGGAUUAGAUACCCGGGUAGUC
RNAcentral lists this ribosomal RNA (459 nucleotides) under uncultured bacterium. RNAcentral's name for it is "partial 16S ribosomal RNA". It matches the Rfam family "Bacterial small subunit ribosomal RNA", at positions 338 to 795 of the family's 1533-position model. The record is from RNAcentral.